GAUGAACGCUGGCGGCGUGCUUAACACAUGCAAGUCGAGCGGGCAAUUUAUCUAGCACUGAUUACUUCAAAUGGAAAUCAUAAGUGUAAUCAUGAAUUUCUACCUUUAAUAAAGAAAAAGAAAUUCAUGUACGCAAAUAGUGAUAACACAUUUUAGUGGAGUGAUGAGUGCUGGAUAAAUUGCUAGCGGCGGACGGGUGCGUAACACGUGGGUAACCUGCCCCUAUCACUGGGAUAACACACUGAAAGUGUGCUAAUACCAGAUAACAUAAGCUUUUGGCAUCAUUAGCUUAUCAAAGAAUUUCGGAUAGGGAUGGGCCCGCGUCUGAAUUAGCUAGUUGGUGAGGUAACGGCUCACCAAGGCAACGAUCAGUAGCCGACCUGAGAGGGUGAUCGGCCACACUGGAACUGAGACACGGUCCAGACUCCUACGGGAGGCAGCAGUGGGGAAUAUUGCACAAU
This 461-nucleotide ribosomal RNA is filed under the name uncultured bacterium. RNAcentral describes it as "bacterial SSU rRNA". It matches the Rfam family "Bacterial small subunit ribosomal RNA", at positions 28 to 372 of the family's 1533-position model. The record is from RNAcentral.